Molecule: ribosomal RNA, 440 nt
Filed under: uncultured bacterium
Lineage: Bacteria
Description: partial 16S ribosomal RNA
Rfam family: Bacterial small subunit ribosomal RNA
Source: RNAcentral
CCUACGGGUGGCAGCAGUGGGGGUUAUUGCACAAUGGGGGGAACCCUGAUGCAGCGACGCCGCGUGGGUGAAGAAGCGCCUCGGCGCGUAAAGCCCUGUCAGCAGGGAAGAAAAUGACGGUACCUGAAGAAGAAGCCCCGGCUAACUACGUGCCAGCAGCCGCGGGAAUACGUAGGGGGCAAGCGUUAUCCGGAUUUACUGGGUGUAAAGGGGGCGCAGACGGCGGUGCAAGCCAGGAGUGAAAGCCCGUGGCCCAACCCCGGGACUGCUCUGGGAACUGCGUGGCUGGAGUGCAGGAGGGGUAAGCGGAAUUCCUGGUGUAGCGGUGAAAUGCGUAGAUAUCACGAAGAACUCCGGUUGCGAAGGCAGCUUACUAAACUGCCACUGACAUUGAGGCUCGAAAGUGUGGGUAUCAAACAGGAUUAGAUACCCUUGUAGUC